This 27-nucleotide non-coding RNA is filed under the name Rattus norvegicus (Norway rat). The record is from RNAcentral. Lineage: Eukaryota; Metazoa; Chordata; Mammalia; Rodentia; Muridae.
UGAGGGACCCAGGAGCCUGCAGAGGAA